AAUUAUGCCAUUCGAGAGGAAAAUGAAAGACAGUUUGUACCAAAUCGACUUAAUUGCGAUUACAAGACGAUUUUCUAAUUACAAUUUUAAGGAGAUUUUGUUAAGGAACGUGUGAUUUUUGAAAACUUAAAAUUUUUCAUGAAAAAUAACAAAAAUAUUUUGAGUGUAGUGCCUGAAAACUAGACUUGUUUCGGAGCAAAAAAAUUCGCUCAAAGGACACACAUAACUGAAGAAAGUACAAUUUUUGCAGAGAAAAAAAAAGAAAAAAAAAACAAUUAGUAAAAGAGCUACAAAACCAACAACAACACCAUAAAAAAAAAGAUUAACAUUAAAAAACUCAAGUUUUAAAUUUAAGAAAAAAUAUUUCAGGUUUACAUUUUAUGCUAUCGCGUAACCAUCGCAUACCAAAGUAUGUGCAAAUACAAUUAUACGUAAUGGUAUUACUCUAUUUGACCAUACAUAUAUAUAUAU
This is a long non-coding RNA of Condylostylus longicornis, 471 nucleotides long. RefSeq lists it as uncharacterized. Lineage: Eukaryota; Metazoa; Arthropoda; Insecta; Diptera; Dolichopodidae. The record is from RefSeq and is a predicted model, not a curated record. The transcript has 3 exons.